Molecule: ribosomal RNA, 304 nt
Filed under: uncultured bacterium
Lineage: Bacteria
Description: partial 16S ribosomal RNA
Rfam family: Bacterial small subunit ribosomal RNA
Source: RNAcentral
CAGCAGUCGCCGCGGGAAUACGUAGGGUGCGAGCGUCAAUCGGAAUUACUGGGCGUAAAGCGUGCGCAGGCGGUUAUGUAAGACAGUUGUGAAAUCCCCGGGCUCAACCUGGGAACUGCAUCUGUGACUGCAUAGCUAGAGUACGGUAGAGGGGGAUGGAAUUCCGCGUGUAGCAGUGAAAUGCGUAGAUAUGCGGAGGAACACCGAUGGCGAAGGCAAUCCCCUGGACCUGUACUGACGCUCAUGCACGAAAGCGUGGGGAGCAAACAGGAUUAGAUACCCCCGUAGUCCCUGUCUCUUAUAC